Molecule: ribosomal RNA, 279 nt
Filed under: uncultured bacterium
Lineage: Bacteria
Description: partial 16S ribosomal RNA
Rfam family: Bacterial small subunit ribosomal RNA
Source: RNAcentral
UGCCAGCCGCCGCGGUAAUACAGAGAUGGCAACCGUUGUUCGGAAUCACUGGGCUUAAAGAGCACGUAGGCGGGAAUGUAAGUUGAUUGUGAAAGCCCAUGGCUUACCCAUGGAAUGGCAGUCAAAACUGUAUUUCUUGAGGCUAGAAGGGGAGAGUGGGACUCUUAGUGGAGCGGUGAAAUGCGUUGAUAUUAGGAGGAACGCCGGAGGCGAAAGCGACUCUCUGGACUAGAACUGACGCUGAGGUGCGAAAGCUAGGGGAGCAAACGGGAUUAGAUA